CAAUAGCGUAUAUUAAAGUUGUUGCAGUUAGAACGCUCGUAGUCGGAUUUCGGGGCGGGCCGACCGGUCUGCCGAUGGGUACGCACUGGUCGGCGCGUCCUUCCUUCCGGAGACCGUGCCUACUCUUAACUGAGCGGGGGCGGGAGACGGAACGUUUCCUUUGAAAAAAUCAGAGUGUUUCAAGCAGGCAGUGCGCUCUUGCAUGGAUUAGCAUGGGAUAAUGAAAUAGGACUUUGGUGCUAUUUUGUUGGUUUCGAACACCGAAGUAAUGAUUAAAAGGGACAGUCAGGGGCACUCGUAUUCCGCCGAGAGAGGUGAAAUUCUCAGACCAGCGGAAGACGAACCACUGCGAAAGCAUUUGCCAGGGAUGUUUUCACUGA
Molecule: ribosomal RNA, 380 nt
Filed under: uncultured eukaryote
Lineage: Eukaryota
Description: partial 18S ribosomal RNA
Rfam family: Eukaryotic small subunit ribosomal RNA
Source: RNAcentral